GAAAUAUAAAUUUAAGAGCAAGCUUCUAACUUAGUUCUUUAGUGGUGAAACUCCAUUAAUAUUUCU
This 66-nucleotide transfer RNA is filed under the name Cyclommatus strigiceps vitalisi. RNAcentral describes it as "tRNA-Ser". Lineage: Eukaryota; Metazoa; Arthropoda; Insecta; Coleoptera; Lucanidae. The record is from RNAcentral.